Molecule: long non-coding RNA, 2548 nt
Filed under: Lathyrus oleraceus (garden pea)
Lineage: Eukaryota; Viridiplantae; Streptophyta; Magnoliopsida; Fabales; Fabaceae
Description: Pisum sativum (pea) long non-coding RNA (PSAT_LNC019208)
Source: RNAcentral
AUUGCAAUUGUUCUUUAUAAAGCUUUUCUAUAAAUAAAAAAAUCUUGCAUGAGCACCUCUUGUGAUAGUUGCCUCCUCUGAGACAUCAGUUGGAUUAGUUUCCAAAUGGAUGACCAUCAUCUUGACGACUUCCUCUUGACUGAUCCUUUUGUAGCCUAGUAAUUUCCCCUUAUGGAAAAAUGCAGGAGGCAUGAGACAUCAUCAAAGUGAUGGUCAUAUCGCCUAUAAGAAGGUGGAAAGACAAAGUCUUUGAAUGCCACAUCUCCACAAUAGCCGUCUAUAUGUCGUGGGACAUGGUCACGACAGCAAAACAUAAAUCGGCAAUACCGGAAUAACGGAGAACAUCCUGAAACCAAGCAGUAGUGGGAUGUCCCAAUUUCAAUAUCUUUCGUCAGUGGUUUAUCGAUUUCAAACAUGUACAAUCUUGUAAAAAUAAAAUAUCACCAUCAGUAUCGAUUUAAUUAGUUGAAAAUAUAUGUAUUGCAAAAGGAAAAAAAAAUAUAACUCUCAUUCCUAAACAUGCCUAGCAGCAUAGUCUGUAUAGAGAUGAAGUAAAGAGGUGUCAAAUGAGACUCUUGGAUAACUAUCUAAUAAGGAAUCGACAAUGGCUUCCUCCGGAGCUUUAGGGGAUUCAACAUCAUCUAGGAACUCAUGGCCCCGUGAAGUGGAUGCACAAGUAGGUCGCUACGAGAAAUAAAACCAGGUGAUAGUGAACCUAGGCAUUGCGAACAAGAUGGUUGCGCACCAUAAAGUGAGUUAUCAUCAACCCACAAUCAACCCACAACCUAGUAGUUCUGGUUGCGGCCCUCUCACGUCAUACCGACGCGGUUUGGGAUACACGUCUGAGCCUAACUCUGCCAGGGUUGGCUUCAGAGUUGUUUUCAGCCAUUACAUUUACGUUACAAAUCUACAUGGAGAAAAACAACAUGUCAGGACAAAUCCACAAAUUCCACAAAAUCAACCAAAUUUUAGUCUGAGUCAAAUCCAGAAAUGUAUCUUCAGAUAAACCUGCGAUUCUCAGUCGUGACAGAAACGUCAUUGCUCCCUUAACCCUCCAAAAAUAUUUCAAUGCAAAUUCUUGUAGGCUAUCAAUUUCGUUUACACUACUAUCUAAUGCACCUAAAACAACUAAAAUAACUUAAACAACUAACUAUAAAUCAAAACAUAAAUAGAGAUAACAUUUUAAAAACCUUGAAGAAACAACUCCAAUGUGUUAUACCACAAAUUUAUCCAACCCAUUUGUGCACUGCAUUAUUCCUUCUUUUCAUUUUUAUUUCCUCAAUUCAUAAAUCGCUCAUUCCAAGAUCAAAAGAUAACUCUUUCGAUGAUGUUGAUUCAUUAUUUUGCAUCUCUUUCAAUUUAGAUGCGAAGAAAGUCAAAGUCAAUGACUUUAACUUCUUUAAAAAUUCCAUGUGCAAGAGAACUGCUAUUUGUUUUAGUUUUCCUUCAAUUUAUUUUAAAUAUGUGAAUUCAUAUGCAAAUGGGUUAAUGCUUGUAUUAGUUUUCCUUAAAUCUAUUUUAAAAUAUUUGAGGCCAUUUUUAAUUAAGAAUAUGUUGACUCGUGAUUGGACAAAGGAGUAUUUUAAAUAAAUUAGAGACUUCUUCGUCCACAUGUGCAUACAUACAUGUUGAUUCAUCGGUUAAAAGUCAUAAUGUGCUAAAAUUGAUUAACUAUUAUUGGUAACGUUUAGUUUAUUGAAGAAGGCUAUGCAUUUUUUUGACUCAAGGUUUGAAACAUUAGAUAAGAUUUUUUUUAUUUAAUUCAGUUUUCACAUCUCCACUUGGAGCAAAGAAAAAUACAAAAAAAAUCAGAUCCUUUUGUUACAAAUAUAAAAAGAAGGAAAUCAUUUUGCAGCAAUUGUGCCUUCACAUGUUUUUCUUGAAUCCUUUUUUAUGCCAUCAUCAUCAUCUCAUUUCAUAGAAAGAAGAAAGGAGCAGAAUAAGAAAAUCAACAGAAAUUGAAGCGAGAAAAGGGCUCAGAAACAUACAUUGAGGUCGGACGGAAAACUCGCCGGAGCUGCAGUGUUCUUUACCACCUCCCUCUUGUUCUUCAUGUGCCGCCGUGGUGGAUUCUCAUAUUUUCUUUUUUGUUAGUAUUGGAGAGAAAAUGGAGAGGCAGAGAGCGCUUUGCUUAUUCUUAAUGGAAGUGAGGUUGAGGCCCUUUAGGGGACCGAUCACCCGCCGCUUGGUGACACGUGUCCUUGGAUAGGACACUUAGCAUGGCAUGGACUGGUGUAGUCACCAGCUUAGGUGUGAGGCGUCCAUGUGAUCCUUGGGCCUGCGCGUUCUAGAGCGUUAGAUCUGUUUGGACUUUAAUCUAAAGGCCAAGGACGAGCCAACUAGUUGACCUGCGUUUGGUCGCAUUAUCAUAUUUGCUCAUGUCUCUUAUUUGCAACCCCUGCUUUUCUUUAACUGUUUUAAGUAUUUCUUUCAAUUGGGGACUUUUGUGUGGAUCCAUGCUAGAAUUGCACCCUUCUUAUUUUGCCCUCUUGAUUUAAUUAAUUAGUUUUUCUAUUUUAAUUAGUUAAUUUUGUUAAUCAAAUUUAAU